Molecule: unclassified non-coding RNA, 1366 nt
Filed under: uncultured Neocallimastigales
Lineage: Eukaryota; Fungi; Neocallimastigomycota; Neocallimastigomycetes; Neocallimastigales
Description: partial contains internal transcribed spacer 1, 5.8S ribosomal RNA, internal transcribed spacer 2, and large subunit ribosomal RNA
Rfam family: Eukaryotic large subunit ribosomal RNA (bases 596-1366)
Source: RNAcentral
AAAAUAAUCCUACCCUUUGUGAAUUUUGUUUGUUUGAAUAAUUUUUUUUUUUUAAAAAAUUAUUGGAGUCUUUCCCUUUAGAGUUUGCUUUUGAGUUGUAAAAGAAUUCGAAAACAUCUAAAGGGGAUGGUCAAUAAUUUUUUUGAAAAAAGACAUUUUUUAAAAUUAAACUUUUUGUAUUCAUUUGUCUAAAAAUUAUUUUUAUAAUAUAAAAACAACUUUUGACAAUGGAUCUCUUGGUUCUCGCAACGAUGAAGAACGCAGCAAAAUGCGAUAAGUAGUGCGAAUUGCAGAAUACGUGAAUCAUCGAAUCUUUGAACGCAUAUUGCACUUUUUUAGUUUACUAAAAAAGUAUGUCUGUUUGAGUAUCAGUAAAAUAUUCUCAUAAAAAUCAUUGUGUAUUUUUAUGGUUUGAGUGUUUUACAACGAUACAAGUUGUUUCACUUUAAAUUUUUUUUUUAAUAUUGAAAUUUUUCUAAUUUUAAUAAUUAAAAUUGGAUAAAAUUUUCCCGUCAAAAGGAAUAACCUAAACAAUUUUAAAUGAUUAAUUUUAGCAAAAUUUUCGAAAAAAAGGAAAAUUUUUAUUAAAAUAACUUGAUCUCAAAUCAGAUAAGAGUACCCGCUGAACUUAAGCAUAUCAAUAAGCGGAGGAAAAGAAACUAACAAGGAUUCCCUUAGUAACGGCGAGUGAAGCGGGAAGAGCUCAAAUUUGAAAUCUUCAAGGUUUUACCUGACGAAUUGUAGUUUAAAGAAGUGUUUUCUGCUGAAGUUUUGGUAAAAGUUCUUUGGAAUAGGACAUCAUAGAGGGUGAGAAUCCCGUAUUUGACCAUUAUUUUCAGCUUUGUGAUACACUUUCAAAGAGUCGGAUUGUUUGGGAAUGCAGUCCAAAAUGGGUGGUAAAUUUCAUCUAAAGCUAAAUAUUGGCGAGAGACCGAUAGCGAACAAGUACCGUGAGGGAAAGAUGAAAAGAACUUUGAAAAGAGAGUUAAACAGUACGUGAAAUUGUCAAAAGGGAAGCGUUUGACACCAGUGUUGUUUUCUGAAAAUCAAUUAAAGAUGGCUCGAUUUUGUAUUGCUGAGACCUUAAAAGCUCACUGUACAUUUUUCGUGUCUUUUUUAAUGCACUUUUCGUUUAACAAGUCAACAUCAGUUCUUUUGUUGUAAAAGGGUCAUUGGAAGGUGGCUUUCUUUUCGGAGAAAGUGUUUAUAGCCUUUGGCCUCUGCAAUCGGAGAGACUGAGGUCUGCAGCGUAGACUCUUCGGGUUAGAUACAUUUGUGCUAAGUUAUAGCUUUUUAUAGACAACUUGUUGACUAUAAUUAGUCUUGUAGCUUACUCGCUUAUGCUAUUUUACCUACGCUUAGGAUG